AUGGGUGGCGGCGGUGCGUUCGCCUGGCUGCUCGUGGCCGUCCUCCUCAUGGCCCUGGGUUCUUCCACGAGCACGGCAGCCUGCUCCUCGCGUGUCCUUCCAGCGCAGGCGAGGUCCAUGGACGACAUCGACGACGACAAUGAUGAGGACGAGGAGGAGGGGGAGGACGACCAGGACAUGCGCGACCCCACCCCCGAGCCCGACGAGCUCGACGAGGAGAUUGUCGAGUCCGACCUCGAGCUCGACCACGACGGCGUCGUCCACCCCGACCACGGCGACGCGCCACAGAAGGUCCCCUGCUCUGUUCACUCCCCAUCUAUGUUUCCUUGUUUCCAUCGCCGUUCUGCUCUGCUCUGCUAG
Molecule: ribosomal RNA, 360 nt
Filed under: Triticum aestivum (bread wheat)
Lineage: Eukaryota; Viridiplantae; Streptophyta; Magnoliopsida; Poales; Poaceae
Description: partial small subunit ribosomal RNA
Source: RNAcentral